Molecule: ribosomal RNA, 782 nt
Filed under: uncultured bacterium
Lineage: Bacteria
Description: bacterial SSU rRNA
Rfam family: Bacterial small subunit ribosomal RNA
Source: RNAcentral
AGAGUUUGAUCCUGGCUCAGAAUGAACGUUGGCGGCGUGGAUUAGGCAUGCAAGUCGUACGCUCCGCAAGGGGCGUGGCGCAAGGGUGAGUAAGGCGACGGCAACCAACCCCGAGGAUGGGCAUAGCCGCGGGAAACUGCGGGUAAUACCCAGCGAUGUCACCGAGAGGACAUCCUCUUGUGACCAAAGGUGUGAUUCCGCCUUGGGACGGACCGUCGUGGUAUCAGCUAGAUGGCGGGGUAAUGGCCCACCAUGGCAUUGACGCCUACCGGGCGUGCGAGCGUGGCCCGGCACACUGGGACUGAGACACUGCCCAGACUCCUACGGGAGGCUGCAGUCGAGAAUCUUCGGCAAUGGGCGCAAGCCUGACCGAGCGACGCCGCGUGGAGGACGAAGGCCUUCGGGUUGUAAACUCCUGUCGGGGGGGAACAAGGGGCGGUGCAGAGCCGUCCUUGAGUGAUCCCCGGAGGAAGCACGGGCUAAGUUCGUGCCAGCAGCCGCGGUAAGACGAACCGUGCGAACGUUAUUCGGAAUCACUGGGCUUAAAGCGCGUGUAGGCGGACCGGCACGUCUGGUGCUGAAAUCCCCCGGCUCAACCGGGGAAGUGGCACGGAUACGACCGGUCUGGAGGGGGGGUAGGGGGGCGCCGGAACUUCCGGUGGAGCGGUGAAAUGCGUUGAGAUCGGAAGGAACGCCCGUGGCGAAAGCGGGCGCCUGGACCCCACCUGACGCUGAGACGCGAAAGCCAGGGGAGCGAACGGGAUUAGAUACCCUAGUAGUCC